UACGAGGGGGGCGAGCGUUGUUCGGAAUUAUUGGGCGUAAAGGGUGCGUAGGCGGUUUGGUAAGUCUCUUGUGAAAUCUAUGGGCUCAACUCAUAGUCUGCAAGGGAAACUGCCGGGCUUGAGUGUGGGAGAGGUGAGUGGAAUUUCCGGUGUAGCGGUGAAAUGCGUAGAUAUCGGAAGGAACACCUGUGGCGAAAGCGGCUCACUGGACCACAACUGACGCUGAUGCACGAAAGCUAGGGGGAGCAAACAGG
RNAcentral lists this ribosomal RNA (254 nucleotides) under uncultured bacterium. RNAcentral describes it as "partial 16S ribosomal RNA". It matches the Rfam family "Bacterial small subunit ribosomal RNA", at positions 524 to 776 of the family's 1533-position model. The record is from RNAcentral.